This 1287-nucleotide ribosomal RNA is filed under the name Triticum aestivum (bread wheat). Its description in RNAcentral is "partial small subunit ribosomal RNA". Lineage: Eukaryota; Viridiplantae; Streptophyta; Magnoliopsida; Poales; Poaceae. The record is from RNAcentral.
GCCAUCCUGCUUCUCACUCUUCUCCUCGUCUUCGACCUCAGGCGGCGUCGCAAGAAGUAUGGUGGCUUGACGCUGAACCCGCCUCCGGGGCCGUGGCAGCUGCCGGUGAUCGGCAGCAUGCACCACGUCGUGGGCGCGCUCCCUCACCGCGCCAUGCGCGACCUCGCCCUCCGGCACGGCCCGCUCAUGCUGCUCCGCAUGGGCGAGCUCCCCGUCGUCGUGGCCUCGUCGGCGGCCGCGGCGAGGGAGGUGAUGAAGACCCACGACGCCGCCUUUGCCUCGCGGCCGAGGACCAACACCUUUGCCACGCUCACCAAGGAUGGCCUCGGCGUCGCCCUCGCGCCGCUCGGAGAUCACUGGCGCCGCGUCCGCAAGCUCUGCGCCACGGAGCUGCUAGGCGCGCCGCGGGUCCGGUCGUUUCGGUGGACGCGCGAGGCCGAGGCGGCCGCCCUCGUCGCGUCCGUGACCGCCGCGGCGGCGUUUGGGGACGUUGUGAACGUCAGCUCCCUCGUCACCACGUACGUCGUCGACGCCGUGGUGCGCGUCAUGGUCGGCGACCGGAUCACCGACCGCGAAGCCUUCCUGGCGUGCCUGGACGAGGCUGUCAGGGUGGCCGCUGGGUUCAGCCUCGCCGACCUGUUUCCGUCGUCGCGCCUCGCGCGUGCACUCAGCAGGACGGCGCGCCGCGUGGAGGCGGUGUUCGGAGAGAUGUCCCGGCUGAUGGACACCGUCAUCAAGGAGAAACGCGCGAGGAAGGCGGCGGGCGUCGGCCGCGAGGAAGAAGAGGAUAUCCUUGACGUGCUUCUGGACGGCGGCGGCGACGGUGUGCCUCUCUCCAUCGAGACCGUCCGUGCUAUGAUGAGGGAUCUCUUCGGGGCCGGUAGCGAGACCUCGGCGUCGACGCUGCUGUGGGCCAUGGCGGAGCUGAUGCGGGAACCGGCGGCGCUCCGGAGGGCUCAGGCGGAGGUGCGCGGCGCGCUCGCCGGGCAAAGCCGCGUUCGGGAGGAGUCGCUGCAAGAGCUGCCGUAUCUGCGGCUGUUCCGGCCGGAGAGGUUCGAGGAGGGGGCCGUGGCGGCGCUGGACUUCAGGGGGACAGACUUCGAGCUCGUGCCGUUCGGCGCGGGGCGGAGGAUGUGCCCCGGGAUCACGUUCGGGCUCGCCGUCAUUGAGCUCGCGCUCGCUAGCCUCCUCUUCCAUUUCGACUGGGAGCUCCCCGGCGGCACGACGGAGCUGGACAUGGCGGAGGCGUUGGGGAUCACGGCGAAGAGGAAGAGCGACCUGUGGCUU